RNAcentral lists this long non-coding RNA (215 nucleotides) under Elaeis guineensis (African oil palm). RNAcentral's name for it is "long non-coding RNA (EGUI_LNC040361)". The record is from RNAcentral. Lineage: Eukaryota; Viridiplantae; Streptophyta; Magnoliopsida; Arecales; Arecaceae.
GGGGUGGUUUCCAGAGAAGAAUACUUCAAUCACCUACAGAAAAUACGGGUAGAGCUUUGCUGCCGCGUUCUCUUGGCAUCACAAUGUCUGGUAAUAAUUAUGUGCCUGGUAGGACUUGGCUUAAUCGCUCUCCUUCGCCACCUCUUGUGAGAAACUAUUCCGUCAUGGGCAAUAAUGUGCCGAUAGGAUUCACGAGCAACACCAAUUCCAGACAG